RNAcentral lists this non-coding RNA (29 nucleotides) under Mus musculus (house mouse). Lineage: Eukaryota; Metazoa; Chordata; Mammalia; Rodentia; Muridae. The record is from RNAcentral.
UGGUGUUCUUGUGUUAUUAUCCUAAGAUA